UGAAUAUUUCGAAUGUGAGGUCGUCUA
This 27-nucleotide non-coding RNA is filed under the name Bombyx mori (domestic silkworm). The record is from RNAcentral. Lineage: Eukaryota; Metazoa; Arthropoda; Insecta; Lepidoptera; Bombycidae.